UAGAGGAAGUAAAAGUCGUAACAAGGUUCCGUAGGUGAACCUGCGGAAGGAUCAUUAUAGAAAAAGCUUGAACAGGCUGUUUGCUGGCUCUCAAGGGAGCAUGUGCACGCUUGUCAUCUUUAUUUCUCCAACUUGUGCACCUUUUGUAGACCUGGAGGUUUUUUAUAUGGAUUGCCGUUCGAAUGAGGACUGCUGCAUAGUCAGCUUUGCCUUGCAAUUCUCCAGGACUAUGUUUUCCACAACCACUUGUUCAGAAUGUAACCUAUAAAGUUAAAAAUUAUAUACAACUUUCAGCAACGGAUCUCUUGGCUCUCGCAUCGAUGAAGAACGCAGCGAAAUGCGAUAAGUAAUGUGAAUUGCAGAAUUCAGUGAAUCAUCGAAUCUUUGAACGCAUCUUGCGCUCCUUGGUAUUCCGAGGAGCAUGCCUGUUUGAGUGUCAUUAAGUUCUCAAACCAUGCCAGUUUUCUCUGGUUAUGGCUUUGGAUUUGGGGGGGUUUAUCCUUUUGCUGGCUUUAGAAAUGAAGUCAGCUCCCCUGAAAUGCAUUAGUAGUAUCUAAGCAGAAACUACCACAGGUGUGAUAAAUUAUCUAUGCCUUGGUAUCAACUGCAUGCACUGCUUUCUCUAACAAAAAUGUUUGACAAAUUGACCUCAAU
Molecule: small RNA, 654 nt
Filed under: Inocybe aff. cryptocystis UCBSB133
Lineage: Eukaryota; Fungi; Basidiomycota; Agaricomycetes; Agaricales; Inocybaceae
Description: eukaryotic LSU rRNA
Rfam family: 5.8S ribosomal RNA (bases 286-439)
Source: RNAcentral